AAUUUUUAGAUGAACCAAAGCCUCCGUGUUUUCUUGACUAGAAAAAGAGAUUUAGUUCAUCUCUGUGGAGGAAAUCCUAUGCGAAAUUGCAGAGAUCGUUGCGGCGUACAUUGUCCCAAAAUUUAGAUGAAAAAGGCAAUGGAAUUAAGAACAAUGCCAAAGACAACUCCAAGCCAAAGAAUGGCUAAUUGUUUUCUACUAAGUGUCUACAUACGAUGGAAUAGAAAAAGCAACAUAAAAGAUGCCAAAGUCUAAUUCCAGCUAUGGUCAAAAUUGACGGCUGCCAAGAGAAAUAAUAGGAAAGAGUCCCACUGCUUCUCGGUUUCCUUCUGCCAACGCACCACACCUCCAUCAAAAUAGGAAACUUUGUCUUCCAAUUGGAAUUGGGCUUGUAACUCUAUGCAGAUUUCCACAUCUCAUCCCUCAUUUAUCAGAAUUUUAUACUCUACCCCUGCAAUUAUGUCCAAAUGCCAAUUAUAAGUAGAAUCCGACAAUUAACAAAAAAUUUGGCACAAUAAUAAGGAAAAUUAACCAAAAAAUUAUUAAUAAUUAACACCCUAUCAAUUCCCCCCACACCUAAACCAUGCUUGUCCUCAAGCAUGAGAAUAGCAAACAAACACUAAUAUUUGACAAUGGCUAUUGCUCCAUCUACCUUAUUGCCAAGAUACAAAAAAAAAAAAAAAAUAUCAAGCAUCAAUGGUCAAGAUCCAAGAAACAUCACCCCGGUUAGCUUCUAAACCACAAACUCCUCCAAUUUAAGGCAAACUAAUCUAAGAAAAAGGAAUGAUCGCUCAACAUUUAUCAGCAAAUGGUCCAACUUUUAAUCAAAAUCUCAACAUUAAAUCCAUAAAUCGGCAAGUUGACUUUUAUCACACAUUAACACAAGCUUCACUUUUUUGUCACGUUUUUCUAUUUUUUUCUUUUUUUUCUUUUUCAAUUGUAACAAAAGACUUAGUCUCUAGCCAUUGGAGCCUUUUGACGUGAAUUCCAAUAUUUGUCAGAUGAAGGAGUCCGGUUACUCAAUUCCUAUCGCUAUACGACCACGUACUCAUAGGAAUUACUACUUUUCGACACGAGAAUCGACACUUUUGGUGAGGAUCCCCAAUUACUCAGCAAUAAUAACUAGAGAAGUACAACCAAAUUUUAUUCAUAGCCAGCAACAAAAUAACUUAAAAUAUCACAACAAAAAUAGCAGCAGCUAACCUCAUUUUUUCAAACAUGGAGAACUAAAGUUAAUAAUUGGACCAAUUCACAUGAAAAUGCCAACAAUUAUUCUCUAUGCCUAGAGAAAUUAACCAAAAAUUAUAGGAGUCAUACAAUCAUCGAUAUUCACCAAAGAGAUGUUUUUGGACUCAACCAAAUUAACUUGAUAUACUUUUAUUACUAAAACUUGACAAUAGUAGCAUUGGAGUUAACAACCAUCAUCAAUCCUUGGCAGUCACAAAAAUAAAAAGUAAAAAGAAAAUAAAAGAAAAACAGAACAAAUAACAAGAAAUAAAGGAAAAACAUCUAAAAAAUUAAAAAUACUAGCUGUACCACAGCUCACCCCACACCUAAAUUUGACAUUGUCCUCAAUGGAGAUCAUAAAGCAAAGAAAGCAAACAGGACAACGAAACUUCCCUGAGUACGUGGUGGAGGGUUUCGAGCGGUUGUGGUGACCCCUCUGGUGGAGUAAUGGUGGCGAGGAGCGGUAGGGGCGGCUAAUGUCGAACGGGGCUGUGGAGUGCGACGGAGGAAGGGAAGGGACGGCGAGUUCGACCUUCCCAAUAAACAUCCCAAGCAAAACCACACGCAAUCGAUAUGCAGGUUACCAGACAAUGCAAGUAACGAGGGGAAGGUUACCCGACAAUGCAAGUAAAUUGAACCAAUCUCAACAAGCAAAUAACUGUCAGAGAUGUCUCCCAAUAAUCAACAGAUAAUUGCAAGACUUGCCCACCUCAAAAUCUCAAAAAGUGUCUCCAAUUGGACAGUUAAUUACACAACUCAACCAACUGAAAUUAGCAAAUGAGCCAAGAAAUCGGCAAUUCCAGCAAUAGCAGUUUAGAAUUUUGAUAACAACUUAAUCACAAGGUGUUUUUGCUUUCAAUCAGGCAGCCAACCAAAUAGAAUCAACAAAUGUAGUCAAAAUACCCCAAUCAGUACCACUGGUGCACCCACAGAUAAUGGAACAACUCAAAUGGCCAACCUAAUCAACAAAAUGCUCAAGUUAGGCACCUAAGGUCUAAACAAAUGUCCCAACAAUGCAGCAAUUUCAAGACACCCGCAGGUUGCUUUCAGCCAAUGAGUCACAAUCAACCUAACAAUCAACUUAGCAAUCAACUAAAUCUAUGGCAACAAUAAACAUAAUAAAAGCCAGUGGUCACAAGCAGGCAAUCAGAGGCACACUAGAGCCAACCAAAUCUCAACACAGACCCACAGAAGGCAAUUAUCGAAUGAAUUAGGCAACAAUGGAGCAGAUGAAUUGCAAGUGAGUUCAACAAACAAUCCCCCAAAAGUGAUGCUCCAAAUACUAAAGUAAGAGUAAGAGGAGUAAAAACCGAAUGUCCCUGAAGCACGAGGAUGGCGCGGUUGGCCGACAGCCACGCGGUGGUUUGUGUCGGUCGCGGCUAGGUGGUGGUGGCGCUGGCGUUGGACGAGAGGGAAAAAGAGAGGCCACGUGCGAGCGAGGCGAGCGAGAGAGAGAGCGGGCUGCGGUGGUCACGGGCUGGUGGCUCGCGAUGAUGGUGGCAGUCGCGGCAAGGAGUGAUGGUCGCGCGCAAGGGUGAGGAGAGAGUGAGAGGGCGGCAGACAGCUGUGAAGAAUGGAGGAGGUGGUGGCGGACGUGGAGCUCUCGGCCGAAAGAGAAAGGGGGAAGGGAAUUAGGGAAGAAGAAAGAAAAGAGGAAGAAAGAAAAAAAGAAAAAAAGAGUUUUUGAGUAUUUUUUUUUUUUUUAUCUUGGAUCAUCAAACACAGUGUGGGCACCCCAAG
Molecule: long non-coding RNA, 2967 nt
Filed under: Coffea arabica (coffee)
Lineage: Eukaryota; Viridiplantae; Streptophyta; Magnoliopsida; Gentianales; Rubiaceae
Description: long non-coding RNA (CARA_LNC002656)
Source: RNAcentral